Long non-coding RNA from Corvus hawaiiensis (hawaiian crow), 5747 nucleotides. RefSeq lists it as uncharacterized. The record is from RefSeq and is a predicted model, not a curated record. NCBI's taxonomy places the organism in Eukaryota, Metazoa, Chordata, Aves, Passeriformes, Corvidae. The transcript is spliced from 2 exons.
GUCCCACGCCCGACGCUCGCCGCCCUCCGCCCACCUUCCCUCCCCCGCGCCUCGGCCCCCGCGGGGCGGGGAAGGUGCCCCGGGCUUCGGCCCGGCUCCUGCCCUGACCGGGAUCCCGCACCCCGCGGGCUCAAGCGCCACCGACGGCCCGGGACCCCGCACGUCCCGCGGCCCCGCGCCUAAAUUCCGUGACCCCGCUUGUGCCCGUGGCCCUCAUUCGGGAACUGUCCGGCCGAGCCCCCGCAGCUGCCCUGCUGUCAGCUCCCAGCCGCUGCCGCCUCCGUGCUCCCCGGACAGCGACCGGGAGCUGCCCGCCGCCACCCCAGCCUUGCCGCCCAGCGCUGCGAACGGCCGGCGUCCGCUGCUCCAGGGAGAGGUCACCCGCCACGAGCUGACAGAAAACCUGGCUGGCAACGGGCUGCCUUUUCCCCGGGAGGCUGUAAUGGGUGCUUCGCCUGUGCUUCAACUUUUGCGGAAAGAAAAUAAGGAUUUUUUUUUCAGAAGCCUAGGCUCAUCAACUCUUCAUCCAAGAUCAAGCCACAGUCCUCGCAACACAGCCUCUCCCCUUUCUUUCCCACCUUCUCUGCAUUCCACCCACUUACUUCCCACCUCCUUCUCCCUGCAUCACUUCUUCUCUUACAAGCUCUUGCACUCCUAAAAGGUUUCAAAAUUAAACCCUGGCAGUCACUUUUUGCAUACUUUACAGACUAAAAUGAAUCCUGAUUUCUUCAUCAGUAGACUAGCCAGAAAGCAUUAGCAGGGCCCUUAUCCCAUUUAGGAAAGCCAUUUUGUGACUCUGCUUCCUUUGUGUUCUGGGAAAUACUGUUUUAACAGUGGUCCCUUCCCUAUCCUGGAUGUUUCUCCAGCAGACUCUGAUAGCUGAGAAGGACAACAGGGGCUUAGUUUCAUUUAGUCACAAUCAAUUACUUACUGCUUGCUCUUUUGGCAGAGUAUAUGUGAUGUGCAAGGAAGAGGCUGAUGUUCCUGCAAGUGAGCGCCCUACACUGAAAGAGCUGCGUGCCCAGGUUCAUCUGAAAAGGUUCAUCUUAAACUAUUCUACUUUAGCUGAUGUAGUGGAGAUGAUGUGCUUGUCCAGAACUUGUGCAGAUGUUGUAUGUCACUGCUCUGCCUGCAAUUCCAGCUACAGUGUCCUCCAAAUGACUGGACAAACUCUUUUGAGAAAAGGAUUGCCUUCCAGGGAUGGAUGCAUUCAAGAUCUGGAAGGGAGACAGCAUAAUUAUGUAAAUACUCCCACAUCCCAUGACCCAGAGCAAACACCUGCUGAUGUUAAUGGGAGAAGAGAGGAUUACGGUUCCUACAAUCAGCUCCGCUACCCGGUAAAUCUGCCUCUGACCUCUGCCUCUUUAUUUAAUCUCUUACCAACACAGCCAUUACCAGUACAUAAGACCAACUACACCUGUUUUCUGCCACAGGCUUUUAUCAUUUAGGAGCCAGGUAGAGAUGAAAAAUUAAUUUCUGAUAUAGUACUCAGCUGCCCUGUAAAGAUGAGCCAUGACACACAGCCUAAAGGUGAAAUAAUAAACUCAGUUUUGAAGGUUUUGUAUCAUACUGCUGUGUCACCACCCACAAACACCAGCCCACGUCAGCCAGUACUGCAACCUUCAGCAGUGCUCUUCUGGCAGCCACACUUGGAUGCACCAUCUUAGCGUGCCCUGCCUGUCUGGAAGACAGAUCUCCCUUUCUUCAGCUGCUGUCUGCAAUGGCCAGAAUGUAGCAAUAGAACAAAAGAUAUUAUCUUCCCUUCUGUAUCGUUUUUGAAGAUGUUACUUUAUCAAAAAUAUCCCUAGACUUCCAGGUUUACUGAAAGGAGGUAAUUAGUGACUAGAUACUAGCAAUUGCUAAUCCCAUGUUAUCUCACCACAAGUUACUAAGAUAAACUGCAGUGAUAUGGCUGUAUUUCAUAAUCAGCAACAGAACUGAACUGGCAAGCCUAGACCAAACUCUGUGGCAGGCACUGACAAAAAUCUUACUAAUUUCAGGUACUUUAUUGAGGAAAACUAAAUCCAGAGGCAAGAUCAGGUAUUGUAGUUUUUUCCCCAAAGGAAACAGUGCUACUGAGUAAUGAGAACACGUCUCAUGCAGCAACUGGCCUAUGCCUAUUUUAUGCUUUUAAUCAUGGUCAGCUGCUCAGAAGUCGAAUUACCAUCACGAGUAUUUUUGGUGUAUUACACCUCAUAGUAGCAGUUACAAUAAGAGCUAUUCUACAGAAUCUGCUUGAAGGAGGGUACACAUUAGGAAUCAUUCACAGGUAAAACAUGCUUCAUUUCCUUUUAGAAUGUUAGAAGACCUGGAAAAAUGGUAAAAUUCUGGUCUCUCACACAUUUUUCAUAUGUUGGUUAAGUGUAUAAGUAGCCAGCUGAUCAGUACUCAUGUUUCCUGCCUGAUACAUUCUGACAUCCAGCACAAGAUGGCUAACAUUUCUGGGGGAAAGAAAACGGAAGCACAUUUUCCACAGAAAAUGCAGUUUUCCUGCUUGAUACUAGUCUUGCCAAAAUGGUUCUUUUCAGAGUAAUUGCAAUGAAACCACUGUAUAUGAUGAACAGAAAGGCAGAAGUUCCCAGUUGCCUUAAAAGAAGCUAUAUAUUAUAUUUGUCUUUGCUCAUUGAUAACAGAAUACUGGCAGGAAUGAAAGUACUGUCUUAAAAUCUUGCAAGCAUGUAAAAUGUUGGGGAAAAGUCUAAACUAGUUGCACCCAUGCUCUGAUGCCAUUGUGGCAUGGAAGUCUGAUACACUAAUAAUAUAUUUAGCAAUUUAUAGUUCCUUCCAAUCACCAUGGUAAUUAAACACUGAGUUAAUUGAUACUGCAUAGUAUUCUAGCCUCUACUCAGCACUGUGUUUUUAAUUUGCUACAGAUUCUGUUAUGCAGCCUGAUCUAGUCAUAGUAAAGUAACCAUACAAACUCCAAUGCACCUGGUAAGAAAAGAAGCAGACCUAAGAGAAGAGAACCAUGACUACAUCUUGGUUUGCCAUUUGUAAACUACUGGAACACUGUGAUAAAAGUACAACUUCUUUCCUUUCUAUCCUCCUGUCCUUAAUUAUCAUCAGUCAGGAUUUUUUUGUUAAUUUAAUCACCUCACAAUAUUUGUCUACUUGUAGAAGAACCAAACAGGAUUCAUCUUGUGGAGGAAAAUGUGGGAAGAGUGCAUCCUUGGUUACUAUUUGCUGUUUAGAGGACACAGGCUCCUUACACUAGUAUCCCUUAGAAAGUAAUAAUAAAACAAAAGAGGAAAUAACAGGAUAUACAAGAUCAAUGAUGCAGUCUGAUGCUAAUCAGUGCAAUGCCAAAUUUUAUAAUGAAUCUAAUUCUUCAGGAACUGACUGUAAUGAAGCUUCUUGAAAUUUACUAUACUCAAAAUGGUGUUGCUGUGCUUCUGUAGCUUCAAAUAGUAGCUCAGACAGCCUAGACAUAAACACAUUAAGUAAUAUUUAUAACUUUGGCAGUGGUCUUUAUCUCUUUGGGGGUCCUAGAGGUCUGGUUUUGUUUUCUAUCACAGGCAAAAUGGUCUGAGCGGGAUGUUGUAAGUCUGGGUUACCACUGGAAGGGAAGAAGAGAUUUGAGGUUUUCCAUUGCUUGUUUUCCUAACAGCAGACUCCAGUGAAUUUCAUAUUAAUUCUGUGGUUGAAGUUAUGUGAAAAGCACUAAGGGCAUAUGAGUAGGUGUCCUCUUUGACAUCUAAGUAAACAAACAAAUAUUUUGGAUAGAGAAAAAUAAGAAUCACUGUGAAUGAGGACAAAAUGUUCUAGCUUGUGCCCUGGCACUCUCUCUCUGCUUUUUAUUUGCAUAUACCAACUAUCAUCAUUUUAAGGUAGCUUUAACAAGAAUAAAUUAUAACUUAGUUUCACUCUUUUCUGGUUUAUCAAGAAAUUGGCACCUAUAUGGUCAUCCUACUUCAUUUUAGCUUUCUGAAGUUCUGGGAAAGGAUUGCUCUGCACUUUGCCAACAGCAGAGCAGUGCUGGCUUUCAUUAGUGGGGGCCAAAUUCUUUCACUUUUGUUCACAGUGAUUAAUGCUGAAAUAAAUGGAACUUCUUGCAGUAUUCACUGUGAAAAGACUCUAAGUAUGCUCAGAUACAGACUACAGUAACAAAGUGUCUGCUGUUUGACUGUGCUCCCUCUCCCUUGCUAGAAAUGGAAUGGAGGGCAUGGCGGGAAAUUAAGCUUUAAUUCUGUUCAUACAAAGCAUGGUACUUUAUUGUUAUCAUUAAUAACAACCUGAGUUCUCAAAACGCUUGGAACCAAAAACUGGAGGGAGCUGAAGCACAAUCUCUGCCCUCAGGAGAUUGCAAACUAAAUAUAAAACAAGACACAGGUGGAAAGAAGACCUGAUUGGGGUAGGAAGGGUGGAGUAUGAGAGAACAAUAAAACGGUACUGGCCAGAGUAGUAACUGCUGGUGUACUUCUGGCACACCAGAAUUAGUGUUUGGAGGCACUGACGCAAAGUGAGUUAGCAAGAGAGUCUCCAAGGAGGCAAAUGUGCUAUCUUUAUAUAUUCAGAAGACCAUCUUUCAAGAAUGAGAGGCAUUUUUAACAGAAGUACGCAAAUGUGUAUUUGAAAACGUAAUGAGUAGACAGCAGAAGCUGGAUCCUGUACACACAGGCUGUGGGAAGAAAGCUUUUAAUAUUGAACAGAUGAUAGAUGAGGCAAGGGAGGGGCCUUCAGACUUCAGUCAAGCAGCCUCUACUUGAUGCACCAUAAAGGCAGGAUGAACUACAGUGAGCAGUGACAGCAGAGAACUGCCAGGGUAUUUGCAUUUGGGAUGCAAUGCAGUAGACCAGAUUGUGUCUAUCAAGGCAGAAUAAGUGAGAACAAAAGUGAAAUGGUAAACAUGGGAUGAAAUAUUUUCUACAGCAAAAAUCACAAAUUUUCACCUGGAAACCUCCUUCUGACAAAACCCAUUGUUUCUUAAAGAAUAAAAAUUGAAGAAAUCAUACAGUUUUCUGGAAAAUAACUGACAUUUUCCUGGGUUUUCACAUUCGGGCCAGCUUUAACUUGCACUUUUCUCUCCAUCUUGAAUUCUGGUUAUAUCUAGCUCUUGCAGAUUAUUUUUUAAUAACCCCUCUACUUCUCCAUUCUUGUGUUCUUAACACAGCCUAAAUUGUCACAGGACAUUAUAAACUCCAGAUGAAGGUCCUGUGUGAGAGGCAGGAGGUUGCUCUUUUGUAUGAGAAUGGUGAAGAAGGAGACGGGGGCAACUGUGGAACAAAUGAUGAUUGGAUGGAUUGCCCUCUGAGUAAACAGAGUGCUUCUGUGGAACAGUAGAUGACAAAGCUGAUGCUUCAGCUGAAAUUCUGAAGAAUUGCAGCCACAAGAUCCCUUGCAGAUUUCUCAGUUAACAGAGGAGAAGAACGGGCAAAACAAACCAAGUGCCAAUAAACUUUUACUUCCUUUCGUAAGAUGCUCUGUGGACAUCUUUAAAAUAUAUUACAUUGAAGAUAUGAAAUCUUGUGCUGAGCAAAGCCAGUCUCUGUAGAAAUAGCCAAUUCUUGAAUGAUUAAGCAACUGGGAAAGUGGAUUACAUUUUGUAUGUGUAGAUACAGUGUUUUGUUACUGGAGCUGAGCUUGAAAUUUCGAGGUGAUUAAUGUCCUUGAAUAACGGAGCAGCUAUGUUGAAACACAAAAUGUCUCAGCACAAAAUAUUGCCUGUGUUCUUCUCAUUCCAGCUUCUGGUGUCCGAUUUUCCCCCUCCUCUUCAGUCACUUGACAAAAAUAUAUUGUUUUAAACAAUA